GAUGAACGCUGGCGGCGUGCCUAAUACAUGCAAGUCGAGCGAACAGACGAGGAGCUUGCUCCUCUGACGUUAGCGGCGGACGGGUGAGUAACACGUGGAUAACCUACCUAUAAGACUGGGAUAACUUCGGGAAACCGGAGCUAAUACCGGAUAAUAUAUUGAACCGCAUGGUUCAAUAGUGAAAGACGGUUUUGCUGUCACUUAUAGAUGGAUCCGCGCCGCAUUAGCUAGUUGGUAAGGUAACGGCUUACCAAGGCAACGAUGCGUAGCCGACCUGAGAGGGGGGUCGGCGACACUGGGAAGGAGAGACGGUGGGGACUCCUACGGGAGGCAGCAGUAGGGAAUGGACCGACAGGGGCGAAAGCCGGACGGAGCAACGACGAGUAAGUGAUGAAGGUGUUGGGAUAGUAAUACGCUGUUAAUAGGGAAGAACAAAUGUGUAAGUAACUAGGAACGUACUGACGGUACCGAAUCAGAAAGCCAGGGAUAACGACGGG
RNAcentral lists this ribosomal RNA (497 nucleotides) under uncultured bacterium. RNAcentral describes it as "partial 16S ribosomal RNA". It matches the Rfam family "Bacterial small subunit ribosomal RNA", at positions 28 to 507 of the family's 1533-position model. The record is from RNAcentral.